Oryctolagus cuniculus (rabbit) is the source of this 33836-nucleotide non-coding RNA. The record is from RefSeq and is a predicted model, not a curated record. NCBI's taxonomy places the organism in Eukaryota, Metazoa, Chordata, Mammalia, Lagomorpha, Leporidae.
GUGUUAUUGCAAGCAAUACAAAACUUAGCAAAUAAUAUUCAUAAUAUCCUGAAAAAAGUUUUAAAAUAGUAGUAGAGCUACUAUUAAUAGAUACUAUCUGCUUGAUUUACAAGUUUACUAUUUGCGAUGCCAGCAUUGCAGGUGGCAGCUUUAUGGCAGCACAUGGGUAAAGCCACCACCUGAGAUAUCGGCAUCCCGUGUGGGUGCCACUUCACGUUUGGGCUGCUACACUUCAGGCCUAUCUACCUCUUUGCUAAUGGCCCAGGAAAAUCAGUAGAAGAUAAUUCAAGUGCUUGGGCCCCCGCAAUCUACAUGGGAGAUCCAGGAGAAGCUCCUGGCUUCAGCCUGACCUAGCGCUGGCUGUUGUGGCCAUCUGGGGAGUGAAGCAACAGAUGGAAGAUCCCCUUUUCUCUGUCUCUCCCUAUCUCUCUGUAUCUCUGCCUUUGAAAAUAGGAAAAUAGCUCUCUAGAAUAAUCUGUAAAUACUUAUCUAAUUACUGAAUCCAUUGUUGUUAAGAACACUCUAUGGUAAGUGACAUUUGAAAAAGAAAGUUAAAUAUUUUUAUGUAGUAUAUUAAAAAAAACUACUUAACUGUGCUAUGGGAAGAAAACUAUUUCAUGUUUCUUUUGGUUUUCUUAAUUUAAUUAUUAUAUUUUCCUAGGGUGAUUUCCUGGAUAUCCUGAUACAAAAUAAAUUUACUCUGUCAAAAUACAUGUAGGGGCAAAAGGAAGACCUUUCUCUCUGUCUCUCUCUCUCUCACUGUCCACCCUGCAUGUCCAAAAAAAAAAAAAAAAACAACAAAACAAAAAAAACACAAAAUGCAUGUAGGGAUCUAUUAUAAAAUAUUAACACAAUUGGAAAAUGGCAAGAGUGGAAACUGGUUUUUAUGUAUCAGUUCUGACAGAAAGGAUAAACACAAUAUUAAUUUUCUUGUUUCCCCAUUGCAGGGAUCAUCAAUGUAUCUUAGAACAGUGGUUGUCAGAAAGAUGAAAUAAUUUUAACUAAAGAAUGAUUACUUUAUUUAAAAUUAAUUAUCCAUGUUGAUGCUCAAUAACAAAAAAUAGAUAUGUGUGGAUAUAUAUGCACAUAUAAAAUCUGGACAAAAAUGAAUGCUAUCUCUUUUAUUCUGUUUUCAACUAUGUUAAGCAGACAUUUAUUUUAAAAUAAAAAGAUUUAUUUUAUUUAUUUGAAAGAGUUACAGAGAGAGGUAGAGACAGAGAGAGACAGAGGUCUUCCAUCUGCUGGUUCACUCUCCAAAUGGCUGUAAUUGCUGGAGCUGAGCCAACCUGAAGCUAGGAGCCAGCAGCUUCUUCUGGGUCUCCCAUGCGGGUGCAGCGGUCCAAAGACUUGGACCAUCUUCUGCUUUCCUCGGCACAUUAACAGGGAGCUGGAUGAGAAUUGGAGCAGCCAGGUCUUGAGCAGAUGCCCAUGUGGAUACCAGUGCUGUAGGCCAGGGCUUUAACCCACUGCACGACCAUGCUGACCCCCAAGUGGACCUUUAUUUUCUUUCAUACUACACUAGUGUUAAAAACAGCUUAUUGAAGUAAAAAGAUUGUUUAGCAAAUAGAUUGCAUGAUAGGGAUCUCUUUUUUAUUUCAAUGAACUCUAGAUGUAUAUAUUAUUUCUUUUUAAAAAAGAUUUAUUUAUUUAAUUGAAAGUAAGAAUUGGAGAGGGAGAGGGAGAGAGGGAGAGACGGAGAGAAAGAGAGAGGGAGAGACAUAUUCCAUCUGCUGGUUUACUCUUCAAAUGCCUAUAAUGGCCAGAGCUGAGCUAGGCUGAAGUCAGGGGUCAGGAGCUUUAUCUGGAUCUCCCAUGUGGGUACAUGGACCCAAGCACUUGGGCCAUCUUCUGCUGCUUUCCCAGGUACAUUAACAGGGAACUGGGUUGGAACUAAAGAAUCCAGGACUCGAUCUGGUGCUGAUAUGGGUUAUCUGCACUGUAGGUGGUACUGUAACCCACUGCACCACAGCGCUGGGCCCCACACACAUAUAUAUUUUAAUAUGUAUUAAACUGAUUACCUUAUUGUGACUUGAACUCUAGCUCAAUAUUACUCAAACGUGGGCCACAGAUUGGUGCUGGUCUUCUUUAAUAUAAAUGUAAAAUUGAGACUAGGCAUUUAGGAAUCUUUGUUCCAAUGUAACCAAGAAUAUUAAAAUUCUCCUAGUAAUUUAUUUUAAUUGUGGAUUCAAAAAUAUUGUCUAUUGGCAGUUUGAAACUAAAGCACUUUAUUACUUUCGUGUAGUUUGAGAAGUACUAUUCUUUCCAUUUAUAUACUUUCUAGUUCCUAGCACUUAAAAAUAUUUUUAAAUAUUACUUAAAAGUAUUUUUAUGAAGCUCAAGACUUCCCAGAUUAAAUAAUUAGUCAAUUUUCCUAAGUUUCUACCAGUUUGUUUAUAAGGGGUAUGAAAAGUAAGGAUAGAGUAAUGAAGGGAAAGGAGAGACUUUAGGACCAAAGAGAUAUGAAUUCAAAUGACCCAUUCUACUUGCUGAGCAGUUUGGGUAGUUUAUUUACAUUUGCUGAGCCUAUGUUUUCUUAAUUGUAAAAUGGAGUCUUUUGUGUACAUCAGAGUGUGGUUGUGCCAGUAUAUUUUAGGUUGCAGUGCAUUUUGACUUCCCUUUUUCUUGUCUUUUCUCUUCAGGUAAGUUGAAUGAAAAUAUUAUGGAUAAAUGUUUUAUAAUGUACUAUACUUGUAUGUACUCAUAAAACAAACCCAUGAUGGAUAAAUUUGACUACUAGCAAUUUGUUUACUCUAUUUGAUUAGUAUAUGUUGGAUUUCACAUAAUUAAAUACUUAACAAAUCACAACUAUCUAUAAAAUCAUAGCUAUUUAACAUACAAAUUGAUUUCCUGAUUUUUAUUACAACAAUAUACUUUACUCAUUUGAAGGAAUAUUCUCAAAUGUCUGUGACAUUGCCUAUAAUUAGAAUCAGUGAAGAUGACAGACAAUAGGUGUUAAAACCUCUCAUUUAUACUUUAAAUUAACUGACUGGAUAAUUGGAUAAAUAUGAUCUAGACAUGCUUUUGAUUAUCAAAAUAGAAAAUAGUCACUUUAAAUAUACUAUGGUAGUGCUAUUAGCAUUAAGAAAUUGCUAAUAAAAUCAUGUAUGUGUGCAAAAUGAAAUUUUGAUUGUCUUUUAUGAUUCCUGCCCUAGAAAAGACAGUCACUACAUCAACAGUUAUAGGUGAAAAAAAAAUUGAUCAUUUUAGAAAGUGGCUUCAUGUUCCACAUGCAUUUCAGUGUCAGAUUUUAAAAACAACCAUGUCUUUUUGACCUAAAUAGCUAGAUUGUUUCUUUGGAGACGUGGACAUGAAAGGAUGGCUCUGGAUAAUAAAACUGUGACAUUGAACUAGGUUAAAAUGAACUUUCAAUAUUGCAGAAAUCUAGAUUUGUUGAUUCUGGUAGUUGUAGUGAUAACAAUAUCAAUAGUAUUUAAAACAAAUUCUAGUUGUAGAUUCUUGCAUUUCUAUAUUAGUAAUAGAGUUCUAUUUUGUGAGGGUUUUUUUUUUUUUUUUUUUUUUUUUUUUUUUUUUGGACAGGCAGAGUUUGUGAGAGAGAGAGAGAGAGACAGAGAGAAAGGUCUUCCUUCCUUUGGUUCACCCCCCAAUGGCCCCUACUGCCAGCGUCCUGCUCCGAUCCGAAGCUAGGAGCCAGGUGCUUCCCCCUGGUCUCCCAUGAGGGUGCAGGGCCCAAGCACUUGGGCCAUCCUCCACUGUCUUCCCGGGCCACAGCAGAGAGCUGGACUGGAAGAGGAGCAACUGGGACAGAAUCGGGGGCCCCAACCGGGACUAGAACCCGGGGUGCUGGUGCUGCAUGCGGAGGAUUAGCCUAGUGAACCACGGCGCUGGCCUAUUUCUUGAAUUGACAGUAACUGUUAUCUAAAGAUGAAAGCCCAAAGAUUCUGUGAGUCUCUUCCUUAGAAUUUUAUGUCAAUUAACAUAGACAAUGAACCUGAUACUGUUAUUCAAAUUGAUAUAUAAUAAUUAUACACUUAUGGUAUACAACAUUAUACCUUUCCUCAAUAGAAUGUAUUUCUUAAAACUGGUUAGAAAAUUUCUCAAAUUUUGAAAUGGAUUGUUAAAUAUUUAUUUUGAUUCAAGGAGGAAGAUUAAUGGACUAAGUGAAGGCACCAUUUCAGCUCUGGUUUUUUGUGAAAUAUAUCUCUAGUUAAAACAUUCUGUUGAAGGUAAAGUAGCUGCCCUCAUUACCUCUCUUGUUUUACUUAUUCUAAUCAUAACUGAGAUACUCAAGAAUGUUGACGUAAUUCAUGGUCUAGCCCUUUUGUGGUGUUUUGUCUUCCCAAACUUUAUAUAGCAUCCAGGUUACUUGUAGGAAAGACAACUUUGUUCUGUUGUACUGUCUUCUAAAUGGUAACAUGAGUUACAUUUUAGUGGAUAGCUUUUAUCUGUAUCUUCGUUUUACAAAAUGAUAGGUCUAAUGAAUUAAAUUUAUAAGCCCAUAAUAACAAAGAAAGAUAUCCAUAGUUGAAAUAUAAAAUAAGUUCCCCCAAAUAAGACAAAUGUUCUUCCUCCUGGAAGUGAUGAUGAUGAGUCUGUGACUGAGUGAAAUGCAAAGACUGAAAUCAUUCCACAGCUAGAUGUGUUGUGAGGAAACUAUAUUGUCUUAGGAGUGUUUAUAUUUUGUGUGAGUAACAACAAAUGAUGAAAUAGUAGAGUUGGUUUUGUUCAUGGGCAAUUUCCAAUCUACUUGUAGAAGUAUUACAAAUGGACCUUAAAAAAAUUGUUGUCAGUGCUUGUGAUCUUGCAAUCUGUAUGUACAAUUGACUUUCAGGAAUGUUGGGAUCCGUAUAUGCUACAUUCUUCUAAAAAUUUUUGAGCUCAGUGUGGCUUAACUUAGAAGCAUAUAGAGAAUAAGUAGAACUAAAAAAACUAGUGUUCCAUCUGAGAAGGAGAACAUGAGGAUUCUGAAAGAAGCAGGAAUAAGUAUAUAAUAUGACAAAAGCCAUAUCUAGUUCAUCUUCAGGUUGUAAGGGUUGAGGAAAAAAAAAAGAGGUGUUAUCGGAAUGUGUGGUAUUGUUACAAACACCAUCACUAAAAACACACACUGUAUAUUGUUAAAAACCACCAACACUAAAAACAACACACUGGUCUCAAAUUUGAGAUAAUUUUCUCCAAAAACCUUAAAAACUGUUAAUAUGCCAUAAAUAGCCAGGUAAAGAGAUUUACCUUUUUUAGUGAUUGUCUUCAGAAAACAGCAACUCAGGAACAUAAGAGAACCCACAGAGCUUCUUUUGAUGCUAAGCAUAUUUUUGGAACUCAAGACAUAUUAACACAUUUUCAGAACCUUACCUAGCAAGAGAUACGCACAUUGCUCUGAAGUUGUACUUGUGAUCCAAGAGUGGCAGUAAUAUAUUUGUAGUAGGCUGUUUAUCUGUACUUCAAGCUCUUUUGAAAACCAUUCUCUGACAUUUUUCUGCCAAUAUUAUGGAAAACUUUCUCAGUGCACUCAUAAAAAUAGUUGUUCUUUGGCCCUACAGAAAGUCAGCAACAACAACAACCACAACAACAACAACAAAAUGCCCUGAAAAUCCCACAAAACUGUUGCAAUGCCUUCUGUGUUUUGACAAAUCCAUUUUGACUCUGAACCGCUUCCACUUACUGGUAGUCUUUGCUUUAAUUGUGGUUUUGUCUUUAGAAUGCACUGGCAAAACCUUAUUUUAUUUUGUCUCCUGUUACAAUGCUUUGAAGAAAUGCUUCAAGAUGUUGGUCUCCCUUGUUGAAGAUUUCCAUGUAAAGGUCUGUUCUUGUCUGUAGCCCAUCUGAAUGCAAUGGUUUUGGUAGACAGCUUAUUGAACAGAGAUUUUAUUCAAUUUUAAUUUUUCAGUCAGAAUUAUAUAAGCAGAACCAAUUGAGAUGUAUAUGAUAUUGGCUGUUCUGCUGUUAAUCAUUGGUCCUCUUCAAUGAGAGCAUGAACAAGACACAUUUUUCCCCUCCCAAAUUGAUGUGGAUGAUCUGCAACUGCAAGCUUCCUUUUCAACAUCAUCUUGUCCCUUAAAUUCAGUUAUCCAUUUGCAAUCUACUGAUUUCAUUGAGGGAACUGUCCAAGUAAACUUUUCAUAAUACAUUUCAUCAUUCUUCCUUCUAAGCUCUGAUGUUUGUUUUUGCUUCAAUGUUAGCAGACUUCAUGGUGCUCCAAUAGGGACUUUUUUCAUAAUGGCAUCUUACUUUUUUUUGGUGCCUCAACUAGAUUCUGUUCAAAUAUGUUGUAAUAAGUUAGUAUGAGUUUACUUUGUUGUGAAAAGGUUUUGAAAUCCAUCUAUAAUUUUUUCAUAGCAUGCAUAUUCCAGGAACAACUUGAAGAUUUGCUGUAUUUUGAUUUUGAUAGAGAAUUUAAUUAAAAAAGUAGCAAAGGUAUGUUAGCAAGGGGAGUAAAGACAGAGGGAAAUGAAAUGUGUAUAUAUAUGUAUACACACACACGCAUUAAUGAUAUUUGAGAUAUGUGACCAGGGGAUGACCAAAUGAGGUAUAAAUGGUGAAAAGCACAGCACAGUAUUGGAUAGGGAGUAAUGAAACCUGGAGGAGCAAAAAAAUACAAAGUGGAGAAAAGUUUACUGAGGGUCACAUGGUUAUAGUUAAGAACAAUGGCUUCACUCCAAAUAUAUGGCUUUGAAAACUUGACUCCACCUUUUAUAUGCUUGAGUGACAUGGGUAAUUUUCAAGGAGUUCUUUUUCAGAUGAAAUGAAUACAUGUAUAAUUUAUGGGAAGACAUCUUGUAAAUUAUCUACCCACUGGUUAUCAUUGUCAUUCUAUUUCUGCUGUCUUAUUUAUUCAACAAAUAUGUAAGCUACAACCAUUGUUGUUUGCUCUCCCUACAUUAUUUGUAUUUUCUUUCUUCAAUAAAUUCCAACUAAAACCAAGCUUAAGAUGUUAGGACUUAACCUCGUUAAUUUUGAUAAUUCCUUUGCUUUUGGUCAUCUUCAUGAGACUACAAAAGAAGAACCCACUUUGUUCACCUCUAAUUUUAAAAUGAAAAACAAGUCCAAAGAAGUUAAUAGAAAAGCUGCAUUGUAACUUAGGCGUCAUAUUUCCUUUGCUCCCCCUGUUCACUAUACAUCUAUUGAAAUAAUAUCUGCUUCUUCAUUUUUAAUUUAAGUAUGUGACUUAAAAAUAUAACAUCUCUGCCAUCUGCUAGAUGAUGGCAGAAGUAGACAAAAACUGAAUUUGAUUGUCAUUGGAAUAUUAUUUCUAAUAGUCUCUUGACUCUCAAUUUGCAUUAGUUUAAAUGUUAGUUUAUAAGCUUUUUCUUAAUCAUCCAUUUCCCUUUAUCUAUGUAUUAUAAUAACUAGGUGAGCAUUUAAUGGUUAAUUUAAAAAAUUUAUUUAUUAAUAUAAAGAGAACAGAUUUCAUGUAUUUCUUUUUUUUUUUUUUUCUUGACAGGCAGAGUGGACGGUGAGAGAGAGAGAGACAGAGAGAAAGGUCUUCCUUUACCAUUGGUUCACCCUCCAAUGGUCGCCGUGGCCAGCGUACUGCGGCCGGCGCACUGUGCUGAUCCGAAGGCAGGAGCCAGGUGCUUCUCCUGGUCUCCCAUGGGGUGUAGGGCCCAAGCACUUGGGCCAUCCUCCACUGCCUUCCAGGGCCACAGCAGAGAGCUAGCCUGGAAGAGGGGCAACUGGGACAGAAUCUGGCACCCCGACUGGGACUAGAACCCAGUAUGCCAGUGCUGCAGGCGGAGGAUUAGCCUAUUGAGCCACGGUGCCGGCCUCAGGUAUUUUUUAAGUACAGUUCUAAGAAUAUAACCAUAGUGGGGCUGGCACUGUGGUGUAGUGGGUAAAGCCACCGCCUGCAGUGACAGCAUCCCUCCUGGGCACCGGUUCGAGUCCUGGUUGCUCUACUUCUGAUUCAGCUCUCUGCUAUAGCCUGGGAAAGCAGUAGAAGAUGGCCCAAGUCCUUGGGCCCCUGCACCCACAUGGGAGACCUGGAAGAAGCUCCUUGCUCCUGGCUUUGGAUUGGCUCAGCUCCAGCUGUUGCAGCUAAUUGUGGAGUGAACCAGCGGAUGGAAGACUUGUCUCUCUAUCUCUCUCUCUGUCUCCCCUCCCUCUGUGUAACUCUGACUUUCAAAUAAAUAAAUAAAUCUUUAAAAAAAAGAAUAUAACCAUACUUCCCUCCCUCUCACUUUCCCUUCUGAAUGCCCCUCAUUCUUUCCUUUUUUUUCCUUUAAUUUUUUGCAAAGACAUAAUUUUAAUACACUAUGUAAUCACAGGCUUAAUUCACCACUAAUCGUAAUGCUUCACAAGUAAAUGUAGGAAGACCACAGUUGCAGAGGAGUAUAAAAAGAGGCUAAAAUGGCAUUCAUAUUACAAGACAUCCAUUUUUUUGUAUUUUAUAUUCUAUAUUAUCUGCCAACUAUCAAAUAAAACAUAAUUUGUCAUUUGGAAGCUGGUUUAUUUCACUAAGCAUAAUGAAUUCCAUUUGCAUCCAUUUUGCUAAAAAAAUAGGAUUUCUUUCUUUCUUAUGGCUGAGUAGUAUUGUAUAGUGUAUAUAUUUUCUUUAUCCAGUUAUCACUUGAUGGAUGUCUGGUUUGAUUCCAUAUCUUAGCUAUUAUGAAUUGAUCUGCAGUAAAUAUUGGGGUAAAGUUAACUAUUUCAUAUGCUGAUUUCAUUUCCUCUUUGUAAAUUCCCAGGAUUGGGAUGGCUUUAUCACGUGGUAGAACUAUUAGAUUUCUGUGGAAUCUCCAUAAAGUCUUCAACAUGGUUUUACUAGUUUACAUUCCUACCAAUAGUGUGUUAGGGUACCUUUUCUCCCACAUCCUUGCCAGAAUUUAUUUAUUUUUUUUUAUUUUUGGAUGAUAGCCACUCUAACUGUGGUGAGGAGAUACCUCAAUGUGGUUUUUAUUUGUAGUUCCUUGUUGGCUAGUAAACCUGAGCAUUUUUUCAUUUUUGGUUGGUCAUUUGUAUUUCAUCCUUUGAAAAUGCUUGUUCAUGUCCUUUGUCCAUUUCUUAACUGUGUUUUUUGUUUUGCUAUUGUUGCAUUCCUUGAGCUCUUUAAAGGUCCUGGACAUUAAUCCUUUAUCAGUUACAUAAUUUGCAAAUAUUUUCUCCCAUUCUGUUGGUUGCCUCUUCACUUUGUUGAGUGUUUCUGUUGCAGUACAGGAGCUUCUUAGCUUGCUGCAAUUCCAUUUGUCUGUUUUUUUUCUUUGAUUGCCUGUGCUUUUGGGGUCUUUUCCAAGAAGUCUUUUCUUAUGUUGAUGUCUUGCACAGUUUCCCCAAAGUCCUCCAGUAUUUGUUGGUAUCAGGUCAUAGAUUUAGAUCCUUGAUCCAUCUUGAGUUGAUUUUUGUAUAAUGUAUAAAUUAAUGGUUCUUGUUUCAUACUUCUACAAGCGUAGGUCCAAUUUUCCCAGAACUGUUUGGUGAAGAUAUUGUCCUUACUCCAGAAAUUGAUUUUAGCUCCUUUGUCAAAGAUAAGUUCAUUCUAGACGCAUGGAUUAAUUUCUGGGGUUUUGAUUCUCUUUUGUUUGUUGACAUGUCUAUUUUUGUGCCAGUACUAGGCUGUUUUGAUUAUAACUGCCCUGUAGUAUGUUUUGAAAUCUGAUAUUCUGAAGCUUCAAGCUUUGUUUUUGUUAUUUAGGAUUGUUUUAGCUAUUCAGGGUCUCUUGUGUUUUCAUAUGAAUUGUACCAUGUUUUCAUCUAUAUCUAAGAAGAAUGGCUUUUUUAAAAAAAUGGGAGUGCAUUGAAUCUGUAAAUUGCUUUGGGUAUUAUGGAUAUCAUGGUGAUAUUGAUUCUUCCAGUCCAAGAACAUGAAAGAUUUUUUCAUUUUUUGUGUCUCCUUCUAUUUCCUUCUUUAAUGUUUUGUAGUUUUCAUUGUUAGAGACCUUUCACAUCCUUGGUUACAUUUAUUCCAGUAUAUUUAAUUUUUUAUAGCUAUUGUGAAUGGAAUUAAUUUCACAUGUUCUUUCUUAGCCAUGGUAUUUGGGUAUACAGAGGCUAUUGACUUUUAUGUGUUAAUUUUAUAUCCUGCAAUUUCACCAAACUUUCUUAUGUGUUCCAAUAGUCUCUUAGUGGAGUAUUUUGGUUUCCCUAUUUAUAUAGGAUCAUGUCAUCUGCAAAUAGGAAUAGUUUGACUCACUCCUUUCCAAUAUAUAUCCCUUUGAUUGCUUUUUCUUGCCUAAUAGCUCUGGCUAAACCUUCCAGAACUAUAUUGCAUAGGAAUGGUGAGGUUAGCAUCCUUGCCUGGUUCCAGAUCUUAGUGGAAAUGCUUCCAGCUUCUCCCCAUUGAAUAUGAUGCUGGCUGUGAUUUAUCAUAAAUUUCCUUAAUUUUGCUGAAGAAUGUUUCUUCUGUAUUCAAUUUACUUAAGACUUUUUAUCAUGAAAGGAUGUUAUAUUUUAUCAAAUACUUCUCUGAAUCUGUUGAGGAAAAUAUAUGGCUUUUAUUUUUCAGUGUGUUAAUGUAUUGUAACAAAUUUUUGAUUUGCAUAUGUUGUGCUAUCCAUGCGUAUCAGGGAUAAAUCCCACUUGAUCCAGGUGAAUGAUCUUUCUGAUGUGUUGUUGGAUUCUAUUAGCUAGUUUUUUGUUAAGGAUUUUUACAGCCAUGUUCCUCAAUUAUGUUGGUCUAUAGUUCUCUUUGUUUUAUCUUUUUCUGGUUUGGGAAUUCAGGUAAUACUGGCCUCAUAGAAAGAGUUUAGGAGGAUUCCCUCCCUUUAAAUAGUUUUGAAUAGUUAGUUCAUCUUUAAAGAUUUGGUAGAUUUCAGCUGUGAAACCAUCUAGUAUUGGACUUUUCUUUUUGGGAGGAUCCUUAUUAUUUAUUCAGUCUCCCUAUUGGUUAUUGGUCUAUUUAGGUUUUCUAUGUCUUUAUGGAUCAAUUUUGGUAGAUUUUAUGUGCCUUGAAACCUAUCCAUUUCUUAUAGAUUUUUCCAAUUUGUUGGCAUAUACCUGUUUGUAAUAAUUACAAAUAAUAAUGAUUCUUUUUUAUUCCUGUCAUAUCUCUUGUAACAUCUCCUUUUAUCAUCUCUGAUUUUAUUAAUUUAAGUCUUCUUCCCAACCCCUUUUUUUGGUUAGUUGCACCAGGGGUGCAUCAGUUUUGUUAUUAAAAAAACAAACAAACAGCUUUUCAUUUCAUUGAUCUUUCAAAUUUUUUGUUUCAGUUGUGUUUAUUUCUUGUAUAAUUUUAAUUAUUUGUUUCCUUCUACUAAUUUUGUGUUUAGUUUGUUCUUGUUUUCUAGGUCCUGGAGAUGCAUUGUUAGAUCAUCUAACAAUCAUCCCGUGUUAGUUUAUUUGAUGUCUUUCCAACUUCUUGAUGUAGGCACUGAUUUCUACAAACUUCCUCUUAAUACUCUUUCUGAUAUAUCUCAAAAGUUUUGAUAUGUUGUGUUGUCAUUAUCAUGUGUUUCUAGGAAUUUUUGAUUUCCCUUUUGAUUUCUUCUAUGAACUACUUUUCAUUCAGUAGCAUAGUGUUCAAAUAGAUCUAAUUGAUAUCUACAGAACACUUUAAUCCCACAGCUGCAGAAUGAAAGUUAUUUUUAUCAGUGCAUGGAACUUUCUCUAGGAUAGAGCAUAUGCUAGGCCAUAAAGCAAGUCUUAAGAAUUUCAGAAAAAUUGAAAUCAUAUCAUGUGUCUUUUCUGACCAUAAUGGAAUGAAGCUGGAAGUUAACUAUUUUACUGCUUAAACAAAUACAUGUGAGUACCUACUAUUUUACAAAUAAAAACAAAAUAAAAAAAAAGAAUUCAAAAGGAUUCUAUUAGAAUGGAACCUUGAAAUAUUCAGUUACCCAGAGAGAGGUUUCAAUCUAAGAAAUCAAUGUAUAUGUAGAAAUAUACAAAUUUUUGUAGACUUAUAUUUCUACUUAAAAUAUAACCCUAAUACUGAAAAAGGAUAGGAAAAUAGCUUACUUGAUUUCAACGUAAUAAUUAAACAUUUUCAAUCACUCUUAGCUAAAUGAUUGGAUUUCAGGAUAAGAAAGAGUCAUAAUUUGAGACUUUCUGGGGUUACUGAUAUUCUCUCAUGCAUAGCUAAUCCUUGUCCAAUCACUCCCACUAGUUCAGCCUUGGAGGCAGUUUUUGUGUUCUACAUCUAGAACUGUUGACUGCUGACAGACAAGUAUUGUGUACAGAGCAUAUCACUGCAUUAGAGUAAGCAGGAAAUUGUUCUAUCUCAGGAAAGAUUUGCAUGGCAAUUACCCUUCCCUUAUUUCUCUAUGUUUAAUAUUUAGACAGGGUGAUUAAGCUUAAAUUUAAAAUUUCUCAGUGUCUUUGCAUGUAUCAAAAAUGGGAUGGCAAUUCUGCCAUAUGAAACAGAACCAAUUAAUCACCUUUUGAACUGAGUCAUGCAGCUAAUUGAAUGAAACUGGCUGGGGACAUACACAAAAUAAUUAGUUUGUGCCUCUUAGGCUGUUAGUUUUGGGGUGUUAUAUCAUUUUUACCACGUAGAUUAUCAAUGCAAAAUAAUAUUUUCAGACUUUUUUCAUUAGGUAAGCCUAUUCAUGUGUAAAGUUUAAUACCUAAAAGCAAUUCAGAAAUUUUAUGGCCAAUGAAAUAAAUAUACUGUUCAUAAUCAGAAAAGCAUAUAAAGGGAAGGCAUUUAGCCUUGUAGUUAGGAUGCCAGUUAAGACAUCUUAUUCUCACAUUGGAGUCCCUGUGUUAGAUUUCUGGCUCUAGCUCCAGAUUCCAGUUCCUGCUAAUGCAGUCCUUGGAGGCAGCAAUGAUGGCUCAUGAAAUUGGGUUCCUGCCACCAGCAUAAAAAACUUGAAUUGAGUUCCUGAUUCCUAUCUUGGUCCUGGGGUCAGCUCCAGCUGUUUUGAGCAUUUGAGGAGUGAACCAGCAGAUGGAUGAUGUCUCUUUCUAUGCCCUUCUGCCUCCUCCUUUCUCAAAGAAAUGUUUAAAAACUCAAGAGCAUGUAAAAAUGAGAUUAAUAUAUGGCACAGUGAUAUAUAUAUAUAUAUAUACUUAUUCAUAUAGUGACCCCUAGGUAUUUAUAAAUUUCAUGAAAGUCUUUGAAAAAAAAUUGUGUUUGUGCCAAACAUGGACACAGACUUUCUCUUGCCAUUAUUUCCCAAGGCAUAUAGUAUAAGCAACUGUUUACAUAGCCUUUACAUUGUCAUAGGUGCUAUAGGUAGUCUAAUGAUAAAGUAUAUAGGAAGAUAUAUGUAAUGUAAUUUAUAUGAAACAGAAGACACUUUAGAAUUAAUAGAUUGUAGUAUCCACAGAGUGGUCCUGGAACCAAUCCCUGUGGAUAGUGAAGAAAAACACGAACAUAUAUCAUAUAUGUGUGUGUGUAUGUGUGUGUGUGUACGCACUAAGAUAUACAUCUGAGUGUAUGCUUCAAUUACCAAGAGACCAUGAGAAUGUUCUCUGGAAAUCUAGUAUCAUUCACCAAAAUGUAGCUCAAAGACAACCAACAGUGUCCUUAUAUAUGAUGAUCAGAGUAUUUUGGUAUAUGACUUUAAACUUAACCCUGGGGUGACUGUUCUAGUGGUUAAGACACUGCCUUGGGACACCUGCAUCUCAUAGAAGAAUGCCUGGUUCAAUCCUGACUCUGCUCCCAAAUCUAGUUUUCUGCUAAUGCACUGUGGGAGGCAGCAGGGGAUGGGUCACAUAGUUGAAUUCCCUGUCACUCUCGUAGGAGAACUGGAUGGAGUUCUCUGUUCUGUACUGUGGCUUAGCCUGGCCCUGAUUUUUGUAGAACUUUUGGAAGUGAACCUGCAGACCAGAGACAUCAGUCUCUUUGGUGCUCUGUUUCUGUCUUUUUCUCUCUCUGUGUCUCUUAAGUAGAUAAAGAAAUAGAUACGUAUCACCCUAUACAAGUUUUCCUGUCAAACACAUAACUAUAUUUUAAACAUUUUUCUGUUUUGGUUAUCUGGGAAAGCUGAUCUAUUAGCUUGUAAUAAAUGAUUGGCUACCAGAAUGAAUAUAGGUAAUAUACCUGCACUAUGCAAUGGAUCCAAAAUGAACAAGAUCAGUUCCUCUUGUUUAAGACACUGUGGAAAAUUUGUCCCUUUUUCCUAACCUAGUUGCCUGUUAAAUUUACUAGGAAACUUUGAGUCAUUUGAUUUUUCAUGUCUUCCUUAGAUAUAUCUCCAAGUUUUAAAAUUUUAGUCUGGAAAUUUAUAAUAGUCCACAUCUCCAAAUGGGUCUCUUUAGCCUCUGGCCAUUAAAUGCUUUAUCCUAUUCCUGAGAGAUCUUUCUCAGUACAAUAUGAUUAAUACUUCUGCUGCCUAAAGAAUCAAGUCUGAAGUUCUAGGUAAACCUAUAAGGUUUUUUAUAGGACUUUCUGCAUCCUGCUGCUCAAAAUUUAUUUUCUGAUAGGUGUACAGUUGAUUCCUUUUUUAUUGCCAUAUUGAGUUACUAUAUUUUCUUUAACAAAUAUCCUUUGUCAUGUGUGUGUACCCUCUCUGCUUGAAUGUCAUACUCCAGCACUCUUUAUCAAGUGUAUCUUACCCAUCCUCAAAGCCCAGACAAGAAGAAAAUUCUUACUGUUGUCUCUCCUUGUCACACUACUGCCAUGCUCCCUGAAGAAAAUGAAGUAUUUUCUUAGGUGCCUUCAUAUAGUACUAUCAAAAGAUGUUAUAGUUUGUUGUUGUGAGUUGUCUCUUCUGCUCAUACUCAUUUGCUUUCUGAAUUUUUUUUGUUUUCUAUUUAUAUGCUUAGCACAUGACUCUCUACAUGUUAAAUAGUGGAUCCCCAAUCAUAUUUAUUGAAAAUGAAUUGUGAAGACAAUGCCUUUGGGAACCAAAGCAGAAAAAAAAAAAAACAGUUGCUGAUUAUCAUAAAAUGGAAUUAUUUUGUGUGUACUUUAUAUGUCAUGAGUAGCAAUAUUAUUUUAUUUGAAUGAUAAAAAAUAUAAAAUGUAAUAAUGGAGUAUGUAUUUAGCUUAGCAUUUAAUGCACUGCUUAAGAUGUGUGCAACCCAUAUUGUGGCACCUCUGUUCAGUGCCUGGUCCCAACUCCAGGUUUCAGCUUCCUGUUAAUGCCAUGUCAGGGAGGCAGCAGUAAUAACUCCAGUAAUUGGGUUCCUAUCAACCUUGUGAGAUACCUGGAUUGAGUUUCUGGCUGUUAGAUUUGGCCUGGCCUUGGCUCUGCACAGUUUGAAAUGAAUCAGUGCAUAGGAUGUGUGUGUUGUGUUUUUGUUUCUAUGCCUCUCAAAUAGAAUUUUUUAAAUUAAAAAAAAAAACACAAUAGUAUAUGGGAGAGCUUUAUGGAAAAAUAGGUAACACUAAGUAUCCUUCUUUUUUUUAUUUUUUUGACAGGCAGAGUGGACAGUGAGAGAGAGAGAGACAGAGAGAAAGUUCUUCCUUUGCCGUUGGUUCACCCUCCAAUGGCCGCCUCGGCCAGCGCGCUGCGGCCGGCGCACCGCGGUGAUCUGAUGGCAGGAGCCAGGUACUUAUGCUGGUCUCCCAUGGGGUGCAGGGCCCAAGCACUUGGGCCAUCCUCCACUGCACUCCCUGGCCACAGCAGAGAGCUGGCCUGAAAGAGGGGCAACCGGGACAGAAUCCGGCGCCCCAACAGGGACUAGAACCCGGUGUGCCGGCGCUGCAAGGUGGAGGAUUAGCCUAGUGAGCCGCGGCUCAGGCCUUUUUUUUUUUUUUACUAAGUAUCCUUCUUUUAAAAAUCAUCCUUUUUAUUUCAGAUUAUUAGUACAAAUAUAAGAAUAAUGUGUUUGGGUUUCACAGUAGAUGCAAUUCUAGUCUAUAUUCUUUACUAGAAAGCUAUCUAAAUCAUCAUUUCAAAAACUUCUGGCCAAAGAAAAAUGAAUUCAAUGAGAAAAUUGGCAAAGUUGGUUAAAAAUUGUUAAAUGAAUUUUAAUGAGAUAUUAAAAAUAAAAUAUUUAGUGAUGAUUAAACCAAAUAUGCCAGUAGGCUGAUAGGUAGUGAUUUAAUGGUAUUAAUUCUGAAAGUAUCAUAAGAUAAUCAGCAGGAAAAAACCCAUUAAAUGAAGUAAAACAUCAUCAUCCUCUUAUAUAGCUUGGGUCUUUAUUUCUGAGAGGAUCUUCUGUAUGAUAACCUGUCAAGGGAUAUUUAACACAAUUUGGAGUGGUCAAGGUAGGAGGGUUUGGUAUUAUCUAAAAGAUGAUGCAGAUGGUUUGUAAAGAAAGAUUAAAGCACUGAACAUUAAUGUAGGAAAGAGGAUGGAAAUGUGAUAUAGUUGUAUGACUCUAAAAUACUAAAGAAUUUUGUUUGGGUUAUUCCUGCUUUAUGAUUUUUUAAAAAUUCUAAAAUAUUUGUAGCAAAAAGAAAAGAUGGCUAAUAGAUUUAUGAAAGAUUUACACACACGUUUUAAAGUGCUUAUUCUGUGAUGGAUCAAUAAAAGUUACUGAGGAUUUUUGAGAUGCUAUACCAUCUUGCCAUUUGAAGUUGGAAUGAUGAAGUUUACUACACAUUUCUGUGAAUCCUUUACAAUACCAAUAAGAGAAUGAAUACUAAGAUUGGAGUGUGGUUAUAAUAAAACUGUCAUGUAAAGUAAAAUAUGUAAAACACAGGGCAUUUAGCUUUAGGAGAGAAAAGUUUCAUUGCAAUCACUUUCGUUUUUCUACUUAACAGGAAAAGUAUAGUUUGCAUUUUCUUUGGCUAACACAUUGUAAAAUACACUGCCAAUAUUGCCACUAUAUUUUGUGGAUAGAUGUGUCUCUGUUUUCAUAUGUUUUGACAUAGUUUGAAAAAAUAUAUGUUGCCCCUAAAAGCUCUGCAAAAAUUGUGUUCCUUAAGUAUAAAUAACAGUAUACUUUCUGUUAUUUUAAUUAUGAGUUAGUUCUGUAUUCAAAAACUUCUAGCAGAAUAUUUGUUUCUUAACCUUCACAAUUAAUCAGUCUGGUACUCUUUGCUAAAGAGAAGAUAACUAAUGAAAGAGGCAUUGUGGUAUUUAUAAACAGCAUACUCAGUUUUUUUUUUAUACUUCAGACAAUCAGUUGAGAGUAUAAUUCUGUAAUAAUUAAUCAACUCUUACAGAUUUCAGGUUCUUCCACCUGUCACUUAAUCUCAUAUUCUACUUAUCCCAUCAGUUUUUGUACUCCAGAAAUAUUUCACGUUUAUUUAAGGCAUGUUGUAUUUCCUGACAACUGUAAUAUAGUUUUAUUAUAAUGAUUUUGAAAGUAAAAUAUAUGUGUGCAGGUUAUUUUUAAUGUAUAUUUCAUUAUCAUUUUUAUAGCAGUUUAAUCUUAUGUUAGAUACCUUUUAUAGUUUUUUUUUAGAUUUCUUUUUAUUUAUUUGAAAGAAUUACAGAGAGAGGUAGAGCCAGAGAGAGAGAGAGAGAGAGGUCUUCCAUUCCACUGGUUCAUUCCCCAAAUGACCGCAACUGCCAGAGCAGAGCUGAUCCAAAGCCAGGAGCCAGGAGCUUCCUCCAGAUCUCCCACACAGAUGCAGGGGCCCAAGCAGUUGGGCUGUCUUUUAUUGCUUUUCCAGGCCACUUAAGAGAGCUGAAUUGGAAGAGGAGCAGCCAGGACUUGAACCGGUGCCCAUAUGGGAUGCUGGCACCGUCCCCUAUAGCUAUUUCUUGAAAUUACAUUUUGUUUUGCUGGAAAACUUUACAAUAAAAAGCAUCAGGCUUGGGGUAAACAUUUGGUGUGGCAGUUAAGUAAUAGCCUGGUAUUCAUGCAUCCCGUAUUGGAGUUCCUAUUUCAAGUCCUAGCUACACUGCUUCCCACCCAGCUUUGUCCUAAUGUGUAUCCCAGGAGGCAGCAGUUUAUGGUUCAACCACUUGAGUCUCUGCUCUCCAUAUUGGGUCCCCAGAUGGAGAUCCAGAUUCCUGGCUUCAGAAUAGCCCAGCUCUGGCAAUUGCAGACAUUUGAGGAGUAAACCAGCAGAUGGAAGAUUCUGUCCCUCCCUCCCUCCCUCCCUCUCUCUUUCCAUCCCCACUCCAUUUCAAAUAAAAUGAGACAGCAAUAAAGCAAGCACCAGUUAUAUAAUGUAUUAAUUGAUAAACCAUUAUUCCCUUAGGAGAAAAAUAUUUAUGCUUGUUUUUCCCUGAAUUUUUUUUCUCCAGUUCUCUUUCAAGGGUGACAUAAACUUGAAAUUUGAAACCAAAGAUUAGAAUAAAGGUGACUUGGGGAGAACAUAUGAGGUCAAGGAUGAUGUUUGAUUCUUUUCCUGCAGGGUACCCAGCACUGAGCGUGAUGCUUUGAACAUGGCAAGUGCUGAAUACAUACUUGUGACGUAUUUAUUUAUUUGGAAGUCAGAAUCUCUCCCUCUCUCUCUUCCCCUCCCUCUCCCUCUCCUCCUCCCUCUCCUUCCCCCUUUCUCUCUCUCUCUCUCACACACACACACACGCAUGCACACACACACACACAGAGAGAGAGAGAGAGAGAGAGAGAGAGAGAGAGAGAAAGGGAAAUCUUCCAUCUUUCCAUCUACAGAUUCACUCCCUAAAUUGCUGCAGUGACUGGGGUUGGGAGAUCAGGCUGAAACCAGGAGCCUAGAACUCCAUCUGGUUUCCCACGUGUAUAGCAGGGACCCACAUACUUGGGGCCAUCUUCUGCUUUCCCAGGUGCAUUAACAGGAAGCCGGAUUUGAUGUGGAGCAGCCAGGACUAGAACUGCCACCCAUAUGGGAUGCCAGUGUGGUAGGCGGUGGCUUAAUACACUGUGCUACAAUACCAGGUCCCACAUGUUACAUUUUCAACAAUGUUUUGUUUCAUUCUUGAUUUACUAUUACACAAUACAAUAGAAUCUAGUCUUUCCUAUUGCCUUGCAACUAAGAUAUCUAAAAUUUAUUUCCCUGCCAGUAAAGUAAAAAAUAAAUUGAGAAUGUAUCUAAGGUUUAAUUUUUUUCUCUUUACUAUGAUUUAUCCAUAUUCCUUCUUUUCCCCCAUUUUUGGUUGGAAAUAAGCAGAAAAUUAGUUAACAAGAAAAAUUUUUUUUUUGUUUCAAGCUUGCCAUGUUUCAUAGACUAAAUAGGCAAGUGUGGCAGGUGACCAUCAUAUUGGACAAUACAGAUUAAAAUAUUUUCAUCACACAGAAAGUUCUGUUGGAUGGCUUGAGACUAGCGGCAGUUGCCUUCGAUCAAGACUGAGAAAAUUGAAAGGAGAUUGGUACAAAUUUAUCACAGUAUGUUUGUGAUGUCUGGGAAUAUUGUAUGGAUAAGCAGCUCAAUAUGCAAGUCUAUAACUUAGAGUAAAGGCCUGAGAUAAAGAUUUAGGAAUGAUCAGAACAUGUGUGAUAGAUAAAAUUAAGAGAAAAUGUGAAAUCACCUAGUGAGAUAAUGGAAAGAAUAAGAAGUGAUUGAAGCUUGAAGCAACGCAUCCUGGGAAGCAUCUGGGUGUUGGAGAAUAACCCCUUGAUGGUGAUCAUAACGUUGAAAAUGUGGGAGAAGAAGGAGAAGAUAAGAUAUUGCACACAAAGUUCCUUUCUUUUGUAAGAAUUGAAAAAAGUAAUGAGACUUUCAGCAUCAAAUACAGUAGCAAUAGGGCAGGUGUUUUGAGCAUGUCUGUUGAGAUGCCCACAUUUCACAUUGGAGUACCUUAGUUUGAUUUCCCAGUCCAGCUCCUAAUCCAGUUUCUGGUCAGUUAAAACACUAGGAGAAAGCAGUAAAGACUCAAGUAUGCCUGGGUUCCUGCCACUCAUAUGGGAAACCUUGAUUGAUUUCCUGGCUGGUGAUUUUGACCUUGACCCAGAACUGGCUGUUGGUGGCAUUUUUUUGAGUAAAAUGAGAUGAGAGAACUCUUUCUCUAUCUUGUCACCACUUAAGUAAAUAAAUAAAAUUAGUAAAAUACAGAAGCCAAGUCCAUUAAAUUAUGAAUUAACCCCCAGAGGAGGGAGAAUCAAGAGUUUUUUCCUAGCCAGUUGGACUUUAUUAACUUUGCAUUUGCCAUGCUAUGUGAAUAUUACAUGUUUUGAUACUAAUACGUCUCGUUGUUUUAGAAUGUAUAUCACAUAUUUUUCUCUCUGAGAUAUACCCUGAGAUGAUGAUCUUUUGCCCUAAAGUUUUGUAUUACAAAAAAAGAAGAAAAAUAAAAAAGAGAAUUGCAGUAUCAAAACAGGGCUUAACAAAACUUGAAUCCAACUGCUUCAUUUUGUUGACAUGGAAACAGACCCAGAGAGUGAGAAUGAGUUACUAAAGUUAUAAAGUUACUUGGUGUGCUCUCCACAAUACCUGAUUACAGUACCCCUAGUUGCUGCUAUUACUAGGAAUGGAAUUUAGUGUUUAUAAAUUGUGCUUAUAGCUACUAGAAAGGGACAUUUUAAUUAAUGAAGAGUUCUCAAUAAAUACUCAUGUGAAAUAUUAGAUAGUAUCUUAAGUAUCUUAGAGUCAAAUUAAAUAUUUUUAUUGCAGAAACAAUGUUUACCUUCCUACAGUUGCUCAAAUAUCAAAAGUUUUCAUGUUUUUAUUCAAAUUCUGACAAUGUCUGUUAUUCAUGAAUAAUUUUUUUCUUACAAAUAUAUCAGUGCAGAGGGGCAAAAAAUUCCUUAGAUAAUAGCCACCAUUUUCAGUUGACUUUUUCAUGCUAAGCAUUCAUUGAAUCUUUCAGCCUGACAGCAUGUUUUGGGGCAUGUGAAAGAGAAAUCAUCUUAGUCUGUCUUCUCAGUGGAAAAGAAGACAAAUUGUCAGCUUCCCAGUGCCCCACCACCGUAAGUUAUAGAUAUUUAGGAAGAUGAUAUUGUUUCUGUUGACAUAUAGAAUCUAAACUCAUGUACACAAUGAUUCUGGAAAGAAGUCAUAAAAUAUUUUCUCUAAUGCUCUGUCUGGAUGUCAGAGUUGUCUGAUGUGUUAAUAACAUUAGUUUAAUUAUAUUGUCUUUCUACAUAUCUAUUUCUUGAUUUCUUUUGGCAAUGUUUAUACUAUAUAAAAUAUUUUUAAACUUUAAUUUUCAAAAAGCCCUAAUAUAAUAUGAAUACAUUAAUAAGCAUACCCAUUUUGUUAUAUUUAGAGGUUACAAAUUACUAUAAAUCUCACAAGAAUGGAAAUUAUUUUAAUAUCAAAUAUGUUUGACAUCAGAGAAAUAAAUAUAUUUAAAUGAGCACCUUAUCUUUAAAAAUACACUGAACUUUAGAAGUACAAUUUUAUUCAUAUGAAAUUUGGUUUUGGAAAUUCUCCUGCUCGUUUUACCAAUAAGUGCAAUCAGUCAAUAUGGACCUGUAUGUAUUGUUGCAUAUCACAAUUAUUGAUUGCAAAAGGAGUUUAUACUGCUUUUAUAUUCCUAUGUCCCUUGUUUAUCUUCUUUUGUCUCAUGGACUCAAGUGGGGACAAAUCCUCUUUCUUUUCAAAAUAGACCUUUAGAGUUCGUCUGAGAGUGGGAGGGAAAAGAAGGUGUAGAAACUAGCAGAGUGUUAGGCUUGAUACUUUGUAUCACCAUGGAACACUUAUUUUAGUCACAGUAGUCCUAACCACAACCCUAUAGGUAAGUAGAUACAAUUCCUGUUUCCUAGUUGAAGAUAUUUAGCUCUGAGUCAUUAAAUUAUUUGCCCCAAGCAACACAGCUAGAAAAAUCAGAGAAUUUUAGCAUAACUUUUAUCCCAGUUUAGUUUGUUUGUUCAAUAAGAAAAAUGAACAAAUAUAGCAGAUAAUUAAAUUUUUCUAAUACAAAGUAUGUGAUUUUUUUAGAAAUGUUAGUAAUGUUGCCUUUCAUAUUUUUCUGAAUAAAAAUAAUUGUAACUUUUGCUGAGUUAUUUUGGUCUUAUGAACUGUUUCCAACGUUUUAGCUCUAGUGUUUUAGUGCUUCAACUAUGUAGAGCCUUCAUGCAGAGUGGAGUUCAUGGAACAAAUGACUAAAAACUUAGAGUAAGUUUAUAUCCCAGGAAAUGAUUAAAAAUGCUCAUUCUAAAUUCUGUUUUUUAUAAACAGUGUGUGUACACAUUUUCAAAUUUUUUUUAAAUUGUUAAGUCUGAAUUUGUUAAAAUGAUAACAAAUUUUUUUCUCUCCAAUUAAAGAGAGAAUAUCGUUUCAUAAUAUCAUUCCGCAAAUUCCUGUAAAGACAUCACUGAUUUUAUAUUGACUAGGAGAGCUAAAUUUGUUCUUGGUUUUUAAGUCAUAUGCACUUACACACUUGGAUGUAUAUAGUGAUUUGGGAAACAUUUGUAAUUUUGAAAUAAAUUUGAAUUACAUACACAAAUUCUUCAUAUACAAAGGAUUCAAAGUCCUGACCCAUUUAAUUUUUAAUUGUUUCAAAUGAGUUUUAAAAACAUUACACUUUAAUCUUUUAGAAGAUUCUGGCAUAGUUACGAGUCUUUAAGUCUCUGUGAAGGUUGGAGACAGUGUAUGUGUGAAUAAAAUGUGCAAGGUCAUUAAACUUGCAUGAUUUAAAGAACCUUGGUAAGUUAUUCCGUCCUAUCAUCCUCCCCCUUCAUUCCACACAUAACUUUCUCCCCUACUCAUGACAUCUUUCCCCACCCCUAUCCAUUUAUUUUCUACAACAAAAAGAAUGAUAGUAACUGCCCCUGAUAGAUAUCUGAAAAAGAAAUGGACACUCACAGUCCAUGUAAUGUAUGAAAGACAAUCGUUCUCUUGUUCUCUUCUAUUGUGCCCCAUGCUUUCUCUUGUGAUGCAACCUUCAUUUCAACCCAGUCUCUCCUCACAUGUAAAUCCACUGGGCUUUGUAGAUAUGAAUAGCUGUGCCCUGUAGCAACUAGACAGAAAUGAAAGGAAUGUACAUUUAAGUCUGAAGUAUAGUAUUUUACUACAUGGUUGAAGUAGUCAGCUGUAGUUAAAUGUUGAAAAAUAUUGGGGCACUACUUUGAACACUGUAGUUAAUAAUUUUUGAAGUUGGUGAAUUUCUUAAAAUAUGUGUCCUCUAGUUUUGCUUUAACUUCUUUAUAUAUAACAAUUGGGUUAGUUAAUGAACACUAUUGGAGGUAAACUAGAUGUGUGUUCAUUACAAUAUUAAGUUUAUUAAUGAGUGCAAUGAGAAAUAGCAAAGCUACUCACUUUAAUCCCCAGUUUACUGAUUAAUAUUUAAUUUGAGUUUUAUUGCAUAAAAAACUGUUGAUGGGUGGUUUAGCUGAAGAUACAGAGACCCUUACAAAGGACUAGGCUAUGGUUGUAUCAAUUCAGUCAAUUCUGGUAGAGGAUUUUAAGUCACUGAAUUCUAAUCAAUUUAAUGUCAAAUAACCUUAAUUCUUGAUUUAUAAUUUUACAUAUCAUAUUUAUAUUCAAGUAUCAUAUUUUUUUUGGGAAAUACUCCUCAACUUGUCCACAGAAAAUUUGUGAUUUAUUCACCAAUCUUGUCUUUGUCAUAGUCGCCAACAAUAGUAUUGAUAUGCAUAUUUUCAUGAUCUUUCCUCCAACUAUGAGAUAAAAAGAUUGUUCCUUCCAUUAUUUUUCUUUGUUUUAAAUAUUCAUCAUCCUCUACUUUCCACUGCAAAUUAGAAUGCCUUAGAAAUAAGACUCACUCAAUUUAAUAUUUGUUGAUUAACAGAGUAGUGAUGUUUGAUAUUUUUAUCAAAACAAAUGGAUAAUCUUUUUCCUUAGUUAAUGUAGACAUAGACAACUUCUAUAUGUUUCAUAGUUAUAUUUUUAAGUGUGGUUAUUAAAUAUAAAAGUAUAUAGUGUUAGAUAACGUAAUCCAUGUAGAUUUUACUAAUCUAUAAGCAAACAGGGCUAUGAUUGGCAACAUUUUUCUUAGUGCUUGCAAAUAUCUUAGAAUUUCUUUUGGAUAUUUUUCUAGUAUCAUAUAAGAAGAAUGAUUGCUCACCUCUGUUGGUCAUCCUUAAAUAUAUGGAGACUAGACAGCAGCAGACAAUUUCUCCACAUCUGUUUACCUUUUCAUAUACAGCAGAGAUUUGUAUAUUGUGAAUUUAGAGUUUAUGUUGUAUACUUAUAAAUUCAUUAUUUACAUAAAUGAUGUGCAGCCAGUAUAUGACAUCAUGUACAACAACAUUUUCUUGUUUUAAAACAUGUGUUUUGAUUUAAGAAUUCCUGGAGAAAAAUACAACACAAAAUUAAUGCAAUAUUUUUAAGUAUAAAACUAUGUUAUAUAAUUUUGUGUUUGAAAAAAACGUUUUGUGCUGUUGCUGUAAAUUUACACUGAAUUAUUAUAAAAAAAAUUUAAAAUUUAGACCUGAAGAAGGAGAAUCCUCACUUUUGAAAAUAGAAGAAUGGAACUGUGAGAGGCUGAUAUUGAUCUAAGUAUUUGGAAGUGGUCAGUUUCAUUACCUAGAGGUGGUUUUAAGUAGAAGUGGUAAUCACAAUUGCAGUAGAUAUAAUAAGUUAAAAUUACUAAGUAGCUAAAAAUAAAGUAAUUAAAAAUGUAGUUGGAUUUUUUCUUAAAGGAAAUAAUAUCAUUUAUUCAUAUUCUUUUUUUAACCAGUUUUUCUUUUAAACUGCCCAAAUUUUCACACAUUCUUAUUUACUAAGAUUAGUAGUCCUUUGAGCAGUUGGGAGAAAAAAAAAAAACCCUGAUAUUCUGAUUUGGUGAAGGAAGUAGUCAGUUAAGCAUCUUUCCAUCCAAGAUAGAUCUGCAAAUGUUGAUUGCCAUAAGGUAUUUUUUCUUGCCUUGCUUUUUUUUUUUUUUCUUGGCUAAUAUAUCCCUGCAUUAACUCUGUAACUAAACCCUGUCAACUACAUUCUUUCCAGACAGUGACUCGGUUAUUCAUAAGACAUAUUAGCUAUCUACUCGUAGGCUGUCACUGAUUUGAAGACUAUGGGUUUCUCAGUCUUGCUAUACCAAUAUGCUAAAAACUUAGUGGCUUAAAACAACACUAAUUUUGAUUGCAGCAGUUUAGAAGCCAGAAUUUCCAAAAUGGGUUUGACUAGACUGAAAUCAGUGUGUUUGCAGAAUUGUGUUCCUUGUGAGGCUUUAGGGAGGAACCCAUUUCUUUUUUUCCAGCUUCUAGUGGCUGGCUGUGUUCCUUAGCUUGUGGCCCACAGCCAGCAAUGUCAUCACUCCAGCCUCUGCUUCUGUACUCGCAUCUUCUCCAAUUCUGACCUUCCUGCCUUUUUCUUUCCAUAAAAGGACCCUUGUGAUUAUAUUGGACUUUCCUAGAUAAUCUAGGAUCAUCUCCCAUUUAAUGAAUCUGAACUUCACCAUAACUGUAAAAAUCCCUUUUGCCAUGUCAGGUAAUAAUGUCACACAUUCUGAAGACUGAGGCAUGACUGUUUUCAGAUGUCAUCAUUUUGCCUGCCACAAGGACUUUGAUGUAGCCAGAAUCUGUCAACAUCCUGUAGGGUUUGAAAUAAAACCCCAGAUUAACAGUUCCCAGGGUUAUGAGACACCAGCACAUCAUGAUUACUUCUGAAGUGUGUCACAAAUAAUCUGUAACCAGAUUUUUUAAAAACAAUUUACUUCUUUUAAAAUAAAUUAUUGUAAAGGCAAAGUUAUUCCCAAAACUUACUCUCAUUCUGCUAGUGAUUUCUUGAAUGGAAGAAAAAGUGAGGGGAGAUAUCAUAAUAUUUUUAUACAAAAUACCUAUAUCACAAAUCUACAGCCAGUGUCUUUUGUGAAUGUAUUAUUAAUUAUAAAAGAUUGUAACUAUAAAAUUUGUGAUAAUGGGAAGUAUUCAUCUAUAUCUGGUAUCUAUAUGAGGAUAUUUUAUACUGUAAAUGUCAUAUGGAUCAGUAGGUUGAAUUUGAUACUUUUUUUUUUUGAAAAGGCAGAGUGGACAGUGAGAGAGAGAGAGACAGAGAGAAAGGUCUUCCUUUUCCGUUGGUUUACCUCCCCCCCCACCAAUGGCCGCUGCGGCCCGUGUACUGCGGUGAUCUGAAGCCAGGAGCCAGGUGCCUUCUCCUGGUCUCCUAUUCGGGUGCAGGGCCCAGGCACUUGGGCCAUCCUCCACUGCACUCCCGGGCCACAGCAGAGAGCUGGACUGGAAGGGGAGCAACCGGGACAUAAUCUGGUGCCCGACUGGGACUAGAACCUGGUGUGCCGGCACCGCAGGUGGAAGAUUAGCCUAGUGAGCCACGGCGCCAGCCAGAAUUUGAUACUUUCUUUACUCUUCUGUUUCAAAAGUUAAUGUACUGUGGGGACUGGUAUUGUGGCCCAGUGCAUUAAACUGCUGACACCUGACUGCUCCAUUUCUGAUCCAGUGUUCUGCAAAUGGGCCUAGGAAAGCAGUAGAUAAAGGCCCAUGUAAUUGAGUCUUUGCCAGUUGUGUGGGACAUCCAGAUGUGGAUGGGAGAUCUCUCUCAGUAUCUCUUUUGCCUUUAGAUAAAUAAAUAAGUUGAUGCACUGUGAAUAAUUAAUAUAGUCAAGAAGCUUAGGUAAAUACAAAAGGUAGUAUUGUAAAAGCAUUAUUUAAAAAUGUGAAAUGCUCAUAUAUUUAAAUAAUGUUGGAUAAAUAUAGUAGCGAUUAUAAUUUAUGGUGAUAUUGAUCAUCAUCUCCUUUGGGGAGAGCUAUAUAAUGAAAUGCAGGCUAAAUCACUUAAGACAAAUGCAAAUUCAAUUAACAUUUUCUUUCAAUACAUUUUACUUGUUAUUGUAGAAAUUAUGGUAGUUUUCAUCAUAAGUUGUCAAAAAUAGACAGUGAAUUUUGUACCUCUUUCCAGCAUCAAAAUUUCAGAAGUCAUUCCAUUGUUCAUAUUGUUAAAAGGUCUACAAAGUGGUCUACAUGUUACAUACAGUCCCUGUCUAAAUGGCAAUUAUAUUCUUCAGAGAAGCAGAAAAAGUAAUCCUGAAGUUCCCAUCAGACCACAAAAACUCUGAACAGCCAAAACAAAAGAACAAGAGAAGAGGCAGAAAAAGCCACACUCCCAACAUGGUACAAUUUACUGAGGAUCAACUGAGGGAGGAUUAUACACAUGGCUGGGUACAGUUUAUUCAUUUGUUCUUUUGCUUUGUAGGUAACAAAUAGUGGUGUUCUGUAACAUCUUAAGUGAUUAGCAAAUGUGAGACCAAAAUGAGUCUUUUAACAACAGUUUAGAAAUAGCUUGAUUUUCUUAAUCACACUGACAUUUUGGGGAAUGUAUUCUGAUACCAAAUUCAUAUGCAUAUCUCUUCCAGUCUUUUCCUUUGGAAUUCCACUCUGUUGGGUACAUGAAACAGGGACAAAGAUUUAGGUUUGACAAAUGCAUUUAAAUCAUUAUUUUUUGACAUGCAAAAAUUCCUUUAAAGUAUGCCUGCAACCUGGAAUGUUAUAAUAUUAUUUUAGACAUCAUAAUAAUGAGACCAUAUGUUAAGUGUACUUUUUUUUUUUUUUUUUUUUUUUUUUUUGACAGGCAGAGUGGACAGUGAGAGAGAGAGACAGAGAGAAAGAUCUUCUUUUGCCAUUGGUUCACCCUCCAAUGGCCGCCGCGGCCAACGCGCUGUGGCCGGCGCACCACGGUGAUCUGAUGGCAGGAGCCAGGUACUUCUCCUGGUCUCCCAUGGGGUGCAGGGCCCAAGCACUUGGGCCAUCCUCCACUGCACUCCGUGGCCACAGCAGAGAGCUGGCCUGGAAGAGGGGCAAGCGGGACAGAAUCCGGCGCCCUGACCGGGACUAGAACCCUGUGUGCCGGCGCGGCAAGGUGGAGGAUUAGCCUGGUGAGCCGCGGCGCCGGCCAAGUGUACCUUUUUAAUGAUGAAUUCUUUUGAAUAUUUCAAUUACAAAUAUCUCUGAAGCUAUUGGAUUUGAUUCUGAAACAAGAGUUUAAUAUCACAUUCUAGAUAUUGAAUUCUACUUUACAACAAAUGCUAGUGUGAGUCAAUUCCACUCAGUAACCAUUUCUGAAGAAUUUAAUUUUUCUAUGAAAGGUUUCAGAUAAACAUGUGAGAAUAAUUAAGACACAGUAGAGGAUUUUGGCAGUUUAAAAGCCAGUGUUGAAGAAAUAAAUGUCUGUAACUUGCAUAAACGUUGUAGAAUGCUUAAACACAUGUUGAAUAUGCCCAAAUAUGCAUAUUUUAUGAAGUUAGAUUUUAGUGAACUAUGUAAGUAACAGAAAAUUAGCUUUGUACUUGAUUUGGCAUAUUUCUGGAAUAUAUAUUAAAAUAUUUAAACAUUUUCAUACUACUUGCAUAACUCAGAACUUUACCAUAAUGCUUAUUUUGUUAAUUCUUUCUCCCAAAUAUGAUUAAGUGUGUACACAUGAAAGACAAGAUAUUCGGGAUGACUCUCUUGACUUUUGAAGAAAGCUGCGAAUGAUUUUUUCAGAAACAUAUUCCAUGCUAAAAAUAGUAUCUAGUAACAGAAAUGGUGGGCAUCUUUACGUAUUUCUUGGAAAAUGUUAUUAUUAGUCCUUCUUAGAUUAAUAGUCACAUUUUUGCAUGAGAAAGAAAAGCUCUUUGUGAGAGAGAUUGGCAGAAUUAAGUGGAAACAAGAAGGAGUGCAUUAUUAUGCCUUUUAAAAAAGUUGCUACCUAUUAAACUCUUUCCUUUGUAUGGACUUUCUUCCCUGAUAAAAUGCAAUGCUCUAUUAACUCUUCAUGCCACCUUUCAAAUAUAUAGAAAUACAUGGAUUAGCCUUAUUAAUUAUAAGUCCCAUUCAAUAUUUGAAUCUCUGUUUUAACUAACUGAAAAUAAUAUUUUUUCAAUGGUAAGAUUACCAGAUUUUAUAAAAACUAUUGAUGCACAUGCAGUCUAAAUCUGCUGAGUUUUUCUUUUUUUGUAAAAUGGAAGAUAAGUUAGACUUCCACAUAAUCUGGUAAUUUUGGACAUUCACUUCUCUUUGAUGAAGUUUGAAAUAAUGAAGUUACUAUAGUCCUGUUAUAUACGAUGCACACAAAUCCUCUUUUGACUCCUCUUUGGAUUUUAUCUGAAUUUCAAACUCAUUUUCAUAUCUUGCAGGGCACCAAAUUUCAUUUGUUCAGUAUUUCUCUGAAGCAUUAUCCUCAAGCACAUCUCCCCAUCCUCAAUUCUCCAUGCUAUAAUAUUUGCCUGUUUUGUCCUUUGUUUUUUUUUUUUCAAAUCUCUGAGUUUUUAUACUUGCACUUUUUUAUUUUUGAACACUCUUUGUGUCUUGGGAUGAUUCCUUACAUCUAGUAAGAAUUCAUUCUCAACUCACUUCUCCAAGAAGGUUUUUCCUAAUGUUUCCUAUUAAACCUUCUCCCCCAGAAACUCUCUUAUCAUAUUAUAAACUUACUUUUCCAAGAAGGCUUUCCCUAAUGUUUCCUAUUAAACCCAAAUGUUCUCACCCCCAGAAACUCUCUUAUCAUAUUAUUCUGUUUUCUUCAUAGCCAUGCAUACCAAUAUAGUGCAAGUUUUAUUCCUUCAGGAAUAAUUCAUUUUAAAAUAAAGGACAAUUUUAAAUUGACAGACAAAAGCUACACAUGUAAUAUAUUAUGUAAAUAUUCAUAUCCAAGUUGUCUGCCUUGGAACAUGUUUUCAGUAGGAGGCAAACGUAUCUAUGAACCCAUAGAUUCAUGACUUUCAGCUGCUUUAUAGAUUAGUAGAUUUAAAGAUGAAUACAUUUUAUUAUAGUUGGAAUUGUUGGUGUGUAGUGUAUAAUUUAAGAUCAAGUGUCUAUAAUUUUUGUGAACAAAUAGGAAAUUCUAAAAAUUAAAGUUACAAAUUUUAUAACCAAUGUGAAAAUGAGUCAGAAUUAUUUAGAUUUGGAUGAGGAUAAGAUACCUAUUAAAGGAGUAGUUCUUGCAUCAUUAUGCCUGGCAGGAUAGACUUAAAGUAGUCUUUUUCCUGGGCUGGUAUCAUUUUGCUCGUUUGUGAAAUUGAGCCUUCUAUCUCAGUAAGUACUAACAAGACCUCGCUAAGGCAGACUUACAGGAGUAGUGGAGCUCAGUGUAGAAAGUUUUCUUUACAGAUCAAAUCUAGAGCCUUUUUACUUUCUGUGUAACCCAUGAAUAGUUACUUGAGCUCUCUGAAUAUCAAUAGGACAGUCAGUUUUUCUAACACAAUUUAUUGCAAAGUGCAGUGUUUCUCACUGAUUUGAAAUGCUGCAUUUAUCAUUUUUAAUUUCUAUAUAGACAUAAAUCAUUUUCUGAUUCUCUAUUCUGUUUCAAUACUCUGAGAUUUUGGCCAGUAUCACAAUAUUUAACUUUUCAAGAAUUUAAUAGCUCUUCAUGAAUAGCAAUUCUUCUGAUUUGAUGAUUGUAUCAAAUCCUUAUAUUCCUCUUCCAAGACUGUCAAAAAGUAAUUUUGAUUGCAACUGCAUUAAAUUUAUAGAUUUCCAGAUAGCUAGCUGAUGUAUCACAGUAUUGUCACUAACAUUUUUUACUCUAUUUAUUCAAUAAAAUUUAUACACUUAUGUAUUUCUUAUUUAUACACUUACUUAUGCAUGUCAUUAAAUUUAUUGCUAGGAAGUUUAUUACUUUGUAUAUUAUUGUGAAUAAUACUUUAAUCCCUUAAUUUUGAAAUAGAAGCCUAUUUUUUUAUAUUUAUCUUCUUUCUGUCAAGAUAUUGAGCAAUCUUGUUAAUUCUAAUGGUUAACUUGAAUCUCUAGGAUUUCCUAUGCAGGUAAUCAUAACAUCUGCAAAUAAUAGUUUGGUUUUUCAUGUUCAGUAUUCAUUUACUUAUAUUUACUUUGAUGAGGAAUUGAACUUUAUGUGUUAUGUAUAAAAUAAGAGUGUUGCCUGCCUUAAAGGACUGUGUUAAUCAUUCAUAAAAAUUAGAGGAAAACACCUGAUAGAUAAUAAUAAUUUAACAAGUGUAGCUACAUAGUUUGUUUGUCUGUUUGUUUAUUUGAAAGAUUUACAGAGAGAGGGAGAGACAAAGGUCUUCCAUCCACUGGUUCACUCCUCAAAUGACCUCAACAACCACAGCUGAGCCAAUGCAAAGCCAGGAGCCAGGAGCUUCUGGGUCGAACGUGUAGGGGCCCAAGGACUUGGGACAUCUUCUACUCAUUUCACAGGCCAUAGCAGAGAGCUGGAUCAGAAAUGGUGCGUCCGGGACUCCAUCCGGUGCCCAUGUGGGAGGCUAGCACUACAGGCUGGGUUUAACCCACUGUACCACAGUGCCAGCCCCAGCUACAUAAUAUUUUUAAUAUUGUGUAUAACAUGUAAAUUUACUAGGAAUAUAAAUUAAAAAAAUCUAUUUGAGUAUUUUACAUUCAGAUAUAUUAUUAUCAGAAAGUUUCACAAGCACACUCUGGAAGGAAAUCAUCGCUUGUUCCCCUCAUAAUUUUUGUUAUUGUUUAACUCUGCUUUAGAACAUGAUAAAAGGGACUGAAACAUUUCUCAGAUGAGCAAUAAAUAACCUUUAACUAGUUCUGCACUAAAGGUUAUGCCCACUCUGGUUUUCAAAACAGCAGGAACGCAAACAGCAAAAGUGCCUUCAUGGAGCUGGCAUUGGGUGCAAUGGUUGGAAUCCCUCUUUACCUAACUGCAAAUCAGGUUAAAGUGACUGUGUUCACUCCACUAUGAAUUUCAGCUUUUUUCUAACGUGUACCAUGGGAGGCAGCAGGUGAUGGUUUACAUGUUUGGAUCCUUUGCACACACCUGGGAGAGCUGGUGAAGGUUACCUGAAUUGUGUCCCCAAUUCCAGAAGAAAAUAAGGAGUAACUGUAGAGUUAGCUUUAUAAAUGUAAAACAGGUGCAAACAUAUGUUUAUAAAAUAAUGUGAUGUACAGUGCUAAAGUUAUGUUUAGAAUAUUAUGUAAGCAGAGCUAAUGAUUGAGUCAGUCCCCCAAUAAACCAGGGAAUGAUGUAAGUGAAAUGUCAGAGUGGCUUCCUGCAGAAGUUGAUAGUUAUGAACUGUUAAAGGAAAAAUAAGAUAAUCAAAUAAAGAGGAGGAGGAGGUAUUCCAAUUAUUGUGAACAAUAGAAGAAAGGGUAUGGAGGAAAGAAACGGAGUGAUGUGGGCAAAAGGCUAUAUACUACGUGCUGUGUGGUGUUUUCUACAUUUAAAGAACAAGGUGGCUAAUUCCUAGAGAAUCAAGCCUAAGAGGUAUGCACUAACCUGAAUAUGGAAUGUUAUGCAACUUAUAAAGGCAUUUGAAUACUCAAUAGAGAAUAGAGUUUUUUGCAGGAGGAGUGGCAUAUUUAGGCAAAGUGGGUCACAGAAUGAGUUUCUCCUAAAAACCUAUUUUUGACCAACUUUCCUGGUUUUCUUAAGUUUUUACACAAAGUAUUUCAGUAGCACAGGUUAAAAGGCUUAUCGCUUCUUAGAGCCUUCUGUUUAUAAAUUAAAGUAGAAUACAAGUUAUUAUAACUCUUAGAACUAAAAUUUGUCUACAUAAACCACCAUAAGAUUUUGGAACCAGGUUUAUGCCUUAUUGAGAACUCUACAUUUGAUGUGCACUACUCCAGCUUGCAAGCAGGUGAAAGUUAAAGAAAAUGCAUGUAUCUUACAGACCUUGAGUGGACCGCUGUGUUUAGCAAUCUCCUUAUACUCUCUAGGACAGAUUUGCUUAGGAGUAUUUCUUACGGGGUGAAUUAUACAUAAAUACCACCAAGCAUGGGCACCAUACAUAUCUUCUUUUACCUUCUUUUUGCUUUUUAUGCAGUGUUUAUGGAUCUAAUUGUUGACAACCUUAUGGUUAUGUAUCUUAUGCUGAGAUCGUCUGGUUUGCUUUGUAGUCAGUCUGUAUUUUUAUGUGAGCCUGGGAUCUCUGGGCUUACUCUAGUGUCUGAACUUGUAAUCUCUGAGUUACUCAGACUUUGACCCACUCUUAUCUGUCCUUACUCCUGUGCUUAUAUUUGUAACCUUGAAUUUGCCUGGCUUCCAUUCUACGCUUGUGUCUAGUGUGCUGUGCUUAUCUUCAUUCUUUGUCUGCUCUCACUAAUGAUGAAGUAUUCACAUUGUUCUGAUUGUCUUAAUGUGCUAAAGCCUCUUUUGUUUGAGAAAGGUUUCGCCAUUCAGUUAUGUUUUUGACAUUGCUAUUUUAAGAUUUAUAGACAAAUAUGGUUUGCAUCUUAGUGUGUCAACGCUAACACUUUCUCCCCAUGUGUCAGCAAAAAGGCAAAGAAUAUUCUAUAAAACUGUAGUAUAUGAAAUGUUAGUAGAAUGUUGAGAAAAUGAGUCUUAGAAGAAAUGAAAUCUUGGAGAGACUGACACAAUGUCAUGUAGCUACUUAGUAACCAUUUCUCUUAUUCAUUUUUUUUUUAAUCUUCAGGGGAUAUUAGUUCAUUUCUCCUAGAGAAAGAAUCACCUAUCAGUGUAGCUGCUUGAAUCUUUUAAUUGCUGUAAUAUAUUUUCUUAUCAUAUUUGCUGGAUGUCAGCUAUGGCUCCUUGGAGAUAAAGUGACUUUAUAAAUUUUCUUUUAUUUGUGGAAUGAUUUCAUAUUUACUUCUUUCAAUAUAUGAUUUAUAACUGAUAUAAACUUUUUAGUUUCUAAAUGAAUUGAUUCAGUUUGCUUUUAAGAUCUUACUGAUUGCUUUUCCUGAGGUUUUUAAAAUUUACUAUGGCCUUUUUAUAUUGCAGUGUUGGCUAGAAAUCUAUUCUACAGAUUGCAUGUACUAAUUUAUUCAUCAUUUUCUACUUUUCUCUAUAUUACACAUUAUGAUUGGCAAAGUUUUAUGUCACAUUUCUCUGUUUUUAUGAUUAUAUUUUCAUGGUCAUUAUUUUUAAAAUUAUUAUUUUAUAAAAAUUACUUUGCCAUCUCAGACCAUACAUAAGAUUUCCUGUUCAUUGAGAAAGAUUCUCAAUAGAGAAUCAUAAAUAGGCCAUGGCACACCUGGGAACUUUCAGGAACAUACCAAAAGAUCAUUAUUUCCUUUCUGUCACCAAGAUAUUUAUUAUAAAUUGAUAAAGUGCUAAGACAGAUUACCAUUUAUGAAAGUAUAAAUGAUAAGAAUAGGAACUUUGAUGUCAGAGAGCCAUGUAAUUAAGUCCUGUGUCUGAAGCUCUGGCCAGGUAUAUUUUUAAAGAUUGUUUUAUCUAAGUAAUAUUAGCAUUUAUCUUAAUGGUUCACAUUAGAAAUUGGAAAAUAUAUGGAAAAUAUUUCAUCAUAAGCCUGGAAUUUGUAUGUGCUCAGUAUGGCACAUUAAGGGAAAAUGGAGGCUAUUUUCAUUCUUAAAUCUAGCCAUGCAACUCAAGAUCACUUUAGAGAACUUGGUGAUUAUUAAAGUGAACAUAUCUAUGUGUUUAUGUUUAUGGGCAAGAUCUCUUGAUUUCAUAGUUCCAAGUUGUGGUAAAAAGCAGAGUAGUUAGUUUUUUUUUCCAUACCCCC